CCUACGGGUGGCAGCAGUCGAGAAUCAUUCGCAAUGGACGAAAGUCUGACGGUGCGACGCCGCGUGGAGGAUGAAGGCCCUAGGGUCGUAAACUCCUGUCAUCAGGGAGUAAAAACUUACGUAGUAACUGACGUAGGUCUUGAUAGUACCUGAAGAGGAAGGGACGGCAAACUUCGUGCCAGCAGCCGCGGUAAUACGAAGGUCCCAAGCGUUGUUCGGAUUUACUGGGCGUAAAGAGUCUGUAGGCGGUAUGGUAAGUCAGAUGUGAAAUCCCGGGGCUCAACCCCGGAACUGCAUCCGAUACUGCCAUACUAGAGUAUUGGAGGGGAGUCUGGAAUUCUCGGUGUAGCAGUGAAAUGCGUAGAUAUCGAGAGGAACACUAGUGGCGAAGGCGAGACUCUGGACAAUUACUGACGCUGAGAGACGAAGGCCAGGGUAGCGAAAAGGAUUAGAUACCCCUGUAGUC
Molecule: ribosomal RNA, 466 nt
Filed under: uncultured bacterium
Lineage: Bacteria
Description: bacterial SSU rRNA
Rfam family: Bacterial small subunit ribosomal RNA
Source: RNAcentral